UACGUAGGGGUCAAGCGUUGUCCGGAAUCAUUGGGCGUAAAGAGCGUGUAGGCGGCCUGGUAAGUCCGCUGUGAAAGUCCAGGGCUCAACCCUGGAAUGCCGGUGGAAACUGUCAGGCUCGAGUCCGGAAGAGGCGAGUGGAAUUCCUGGUGUAGCGGUGAAAUGCGCAGAUAUCAGGAGGAACACCAAUGGCGAAGGCAGCUCGCUGGGAAGGUACUGACGCUGAGGCGCGAAAGCGUGGGGAGCAAACAGG
This 253-nucleotide ribosomal RNA is filed under the name uncultured bacterium. RNAcentral's name for it is "partial 16S ribosomal RNA". It matches the Rfam family "Bacterial small subunit ribosomal RNA", at positions 524 to 776 of the family's 1533-position model. The record is from RNAcentral.